CCUCUGGUAGCUCAGUUGGUAAGAGCGGUGGACUGUAGAUCCAUAGGUCGCUGGUUCAAAUCCGGCCCAGAGGA
This 74-nucleotide transfer RNA is filed under the name Schistocerca americana (American grasshopper). RNAcentral's name for it is "tRNA-Tyr". It matches the Rfam family "tRNA". Rfam says of the family: Transfer RNA (tRNA) molecules are approximately 80 nucleotides in length. Their secondary structure includes four short double-helical elements and three loops (D, anti-codon, and T loops). Lineage: Eukaryota; Metazoa; Arthropoda; Insecta; Orthoptera; Acrididae. The record is from RNAcentral.